This 426-nucleotide ribosomal RNA is filed under the name uncultured bacterium. Its description in RNAcentral is "bacterial SSU rRNA". It matches the Rfam family "Bacterial small subunit ribosomal RNA", at positions 355 to 773 of the family's 1533-position model. The record is from RNAcentral.
UGGGGAAUUUUGGACCAUGAGCGAAAGCCUGAUCCAGCCAUGCCGCGUGCGGGAAGAAGGCCUUCGGGUUGUAAACCGCUUUUGUCAGGGAAGAAAUCCUUUGGGCUACUACCCCUGGGGGAUGACGGUACCUGAAGAAUAAGCACCGGCUACCUACGUGCCAGCAGCCGCGGUAAUACGUAGGGUGCAAGCGUUAAUCGGAAUUACUGGGCGUAAAGCGUGCGCAGGCGGUUAUGCAAGACAGAUGUGAAAUCCCCGGGCUCAACCUGGGAACUGCAUUUGUGACUGCAUAGCUGGAGUGCGGCAGAGGGGGAUGGAAUUCCGCGUGUAGCAGUGAAAUGCGUAGAUAUGCGGAGGAACACCGAUGGCGAAGGCAAUCCCCUGGGCCUGCACUGACGCUCAUGCACGAAAGCGUGGGGAGCAAAC